RNAcentral lists this ribosomal RNA (573 nucleotides) under Trigonostoma thysthlon. Its description in RNAcentral is "partial 12S ribosomal RNA". Lineage: Eukaryota; Metazoa; Mollusca; Gastropoda; Neogastropoda; Cancellariidae. The record is from RNAcentral.
CGGUUAGACUGGAGGGCCUAGUUAUAUUGUUAAGGUAAAAAGGUGGUUAGGCACAAAAGUAUUAUAUUUUCAGUUAUAUAAACUACUGUAUAGAAGUGUAAUUCUUAUAUGGGAUGAUAGGUAAUUCAAAGAUGGCUGUAUAUGUUGAAUCCACUAAAGCUUUGAGGGAAACUGGGAUCUGGUACCCCAUUAUUCUUAGUUGUAAAUAGGUAUUAAGCUUACCAGAGUACUACGAAUUAUAUAAUUUGAAACUCAAAGGGCUUGGCGGUGUUUUAGACCAAUUAGGGGAACCUGUUCCGUAAUCGAUGAUCCACGUUAUACCCCACCCUCUAUUGAAAUCAGCUUGUACACCGUUGUCAUCAGGUAACAUUUUAGAUUAGUAAAGUUAGCGAUAGAAUUUAUUUUAUUAGUUUUUAUGUCAAAUCAAGGUGCAGCUAACGAGAGGGGGAGGAUGGGUUACAAUUAAGAUUUAUAAGACGGAUCAGACAAUGAAAUUUGUUUGUGAAGGAGGACUUAAAAGUAAGAUUAUUUAGAAAGAUAGUCUGAAUGUGGCUCUGGGAUGUGUACAAACCG